GUUUUUCCGUGUCUGAAGAUCAUAAAUAAUUAACAUAUAUUAUAAGCUGAUCAGUAGGCCUCAGGACUUGAUUACUGUCAAGAUUCCUAAUGCUUCAAAAUUAGUGAAUAUAAUAUAUAUUAAUGAAACACAUGCAAUGUCAUUUCCCAAAAAUAGGACCCUAAAACAUAGAAAAAUGAGUAAAUAUUAAAAAAUGGGAUAUAAACAUAAAUUGCAGACAACACUUCACUUUUUCUGCCUUUAUGGGAUAAUAAAUAAUCACAAAUUUCCCAUGAUUUUAAUGGAUUAACAAUAAUUUACUAGCCAGCACGAACGAAUUAAUACUUUCUUCCUUGUCUGAAGAUCAGAACAAACUCCAGCCUAGCACUGUGACUACGUACUAGUAUUUUAUUCACACCGGAGCUUACGGUUGGGAGACAUUUCAUUAAUGAGUAAGCUAUAUAUGAAUUAAUUCAAUUUCAUGUCUGUCAAGAUUCCUCACUCUUCAAU
Molecule: long non-coding RNA, 489 nt
Filed under: Erythranthe guttata (spotted monkey flower)
Lineage: Eukaryota; Viridiplantae; Streptophyta; Magnoliopsida; Lamiales; Phrymaceae
Description: long non-coding RNA (EGUT_LNC003923)
Source: RNAcentral